RNAcentral lists this ribosomal RNA (509 nucleotides) under uncultured bacterium. RNAcentral's name for it is "bacterial SSU rRNA". It matches the Rfam family "Bacterial small subunit ribosomal RNA", at positions 15 to 518 of the family's 1533-position model. The record is from RNAcentral.
GAUUAUGGCUCAGGAUGAACGCUAGCGGCAGGCCUAAUACAUGCAAGUCGAACGGGAAGGGGCCCUUCGGGGCUUCUGAGAGUGGCGCACGGGUGCGCAACGCGUAUGCAACCAACCCCCGACGGGCGGAUAGCCGGUGGAAACGCCGGAUAAUACGCCAUGGUUCCGCAGGGAGGCAUCUCCAGGCGGAUAAAGCCGAGAGGCGGUCGGGGACGGGCAUGCGUCCCAUUAGGUAGUCGGCGGGGUGACGGCCCACCGAGCCCGUGAUGGGUAGGGGAUCUGAGAGGACGGUCCCCCACACUGGUACUGAGACACGGACCAGACUCCUGCGGGAGGCAGCAGUAAGGGAUAUUGGUCAAUGGUCGGAAGACUGAACCAGCCAUGCCGCGUGAGGGAAUGAGGCCCUACGGGUCGUGAACCUCUUUUAUUCGGGGACAAGGGCGCGGUCGCGAACCGUGUUUGAGGGUACCGAAGGAAUAAGCGUCGGCUAACUCCGUGCCAGCAGCUGC